ACAUUGGUGGUGUAGUGGUUAGUAGCACUGUCUUCUAAGCAGUGGGUCUGGGUUCAAUUCCUAGCCAACACA
This 72-nucleotide transfer RNA is filed under the name Pelodiscus sinensis (Chinese soft-shelled turtle). It matches the Rfam family "tRNA". Rfam says of the family: Transfer RNA (tRNA) molecules are approximately 80 nucleotides in length. Their secondary structure includes four short double-helical elements and three loops (D, anti-codon, and T loops). The record is from Rfam by way of RNAcentral. Lineage: Eukaryota; Metazoa; Chordata; Testudines; Trionychidae.